Molecule: ribosomal RNA, 253 nt
Filed under: uncultured bacterium
Lineage: Bacteria
Description: partial 16S ribosomal RNA
Rfam family: Bacterial small subunit ribosomal RNA
Source: RNAcentral
CACGUAGGGCGCAAGCGUUGUCCGGAAUUAUUGGGCGUAAAGAGCUCGUAGGCGGUCCGUCACGUCCGCUGUGAAAACCCAGGGCUCAACCCUGGGCUUGCAGUGGAUACGGGCAGACUAGAGGUAGGUAGGGGAGAAUGGAAUUCCCGGUGUAGCGGUGAAAUGCGCAGAUAUCGGGAGGAACACCGGUGGCGAAGGCGGUUCUCUGGGCCUUACCUGACGCUGAGGAACGAAAGCUAGGGGAGCAAACAGG